Molecule: ribosomal RNA, 548 nt
Filed under: uncultured Glomeromycotina
Lineage: Eukaryota; Fungi; Glomeromycota
Description: SSU rRNA
Rfam family: Eukaryotic small subunit ribosomal RNA
Source: RNAcentral
UUGGAGGGCAAGUCUGGUGCCAGCAGCCGCGGUAAUUCCAGCUCCAAUAGCGUAUAUUAAAGUUGUUGCAGUUAAAAAGCUCGUAGUUGAAUUUCGGGGUCAGUAGGCUGGUCGUGCCACAGGUAUGUACUGGUCUCACUGAUUCCUCCUUCCUGAUGAACCGUAAUGCCAUUAAUUUGGUGUUGCGGGGAAUCUGGACUGUUACUUUGGAAAAAUUAGAGUGUUUAAAGCAGGCUAACGCUUGAAUACAUUAGCAUGGAAUAAUGAAAUAGGACGAUCGAUCCUAUUUUGUUGGUUUCUAGGAUUGACGUAAUGAUUAAUAGGGAUAGUUGGGGGCAUUAGUAUUCAAUUGUCAGAGGUGAAAUUCUUGGAUUUAUUGAAGACUAACUACUGCGAAAGCAUUUGCCAAGGAUGUUUUCAUUAAUCAAGAACGAAAGUUAGGGGAUCGAAGACGAUCAGAUACCGUCGUAGUCUUAACCAUAAACUAUGCCGACUAGGGAUCGGAUGAUGUUAAUUUUUUAAUGACUCAUUCGGCGCCUUACGGGAAA